Molecule: ribosomal RNA, 465 nt
Filed under: Vreelandella stevensii
Lineage: Bacteria; Pseudomonadati; Pseudomonadota; Gammaproteobacteria; Oceanospirillales; Halomonadaceae
Description: partial 16S ribosomal RNA
Rfam family: Bacterial small subunit ribosomal RNA
Source: RNAcentral
CCUACGGGAGGCAGCAGUGGGGAAUAUUGGACAAUGGGGGGAACCCUGAUCCAGCCAUGCCGCGUGUGUGAAGAAGGCCCUCGGGUUGUAAAGCACUUUCAGUGAGGAAGAACGCCUGGUGGUUAAUACCCAUCAGGAAAGACAUCACUCACAGAAGAAGCACCGGCUAACUCCGUGCCAGCAGCCGCGGUAAUACGGAGGGUGCGAGCGUUAAUCGGAAUUACUGGGCGUAAAGCGCGCGUAGGUGGCUUGAUAAGCCGGUUGUGAAAGCCCCGGGCUCAACCUGGGAACGGCAUCCGGAACUGUCAAGCUAGAGUGCAGGAGAGGAAGGUAGAAUUCCCGGUGUAACGGUGAAAUGCGUAGAGAUCGGGAGGAAUACCAGUGGCGAAGGCGGCCUUCUGGACUGACACUGACACUGAGGUGCGAAAGCGUGGGUAGCAAACAGGAUUAGAUACCCUGGUAGUC